CUUAACAAACAGACCGUGAACAUGUCAUCCAUCCCGCACGUGGUUCUACCCGUGCAAGGCCCCCGACCUUUCCGAAGGAGAGGGGCCGCAAAAGAACCCACGGCGCCGAAGGCGUCAAGGAAAACUGAUAUUGCCUUGCUCGGGGCUGUGCUCGGCUUGCCGAGCACACCUCGUGCAGCGAUGCUAUCUUAAUCCACACGACUCUCGGCAACGGAUAUCUCGGCUCUCGCAUCGAUGAAGAACGUAGCAAAAUGCGAUACCUGGUGUGAAUUGCAGAAUCCCGCGAACCAUCGAGUUUUUGAACGCAAGUUGCGCCCGAGGCCUUCUGGUUGAGGGCACGCCUGCCUGGGCGUCACGCCAAAAGACACUCCCAACCCAAACCUGGGGAAGGACGUGGUGUUUGGCUCCCCGUGCUGCAAGGCGCGGUGGGCCGAAGUUUGGGCUGCCGGCAUAACUUGUCGGGCACCGCACGUGGUGGGCGACAUCUAGUUGUUCUCGGUGCAGUGUCUUGGCAUGCAGCUGGCUUAUUGGCCUCAAGGACCCAUACACGACCGAAGCGUUUAGGCGCUCGGACCGCGACCCCAGGUCAGACGGGACUACCCGCUGAGUUUAAGCAUAUCAAUAA
This 625-nucleotide ribosomal RNA is filed under the name Setaria italica (foxtail millet). RNAcentral's name for it is "eukaryotic LSU rRNA". The stretch from base 200 to 355 matches the Rfam family "5.8S ribosomal RNA". The record is from RNAcentral. Lineage: Eukaryota; Viridiplantae; Streptophyta; Magnoliopsida; Poales; Poaceae.